CAUUUCAUGUGCAAGUUAGAAGUGUGCUCGGGCGAUCUCUAAAAUUAUUUGAUUUCUCCCUAAUCUGUGCCGGAUUCGAAUACCAAAAACAGUGUUUUGAUCCGGAUUAGUAGCUUUUAAUUAUACCCCACGUGGAAUAUUGGCCGAAGGCAAAUUUGUUACCUAAUUGAAUAUCGAUCGAUCGUAGCCUUUAAAUACUGUGCCCGCCAGCAACAAUAGCACCAACAGAGAGUUGCAUCGGU
Culex quinquefasciatus (southern house mosquito) is the source of this 242-nucleotide long non-coding RNA. RefSeq lists it as uncharacterized. NCBI's taxonomy places the organism in Eukaryota, Metazoa, Arthropoda, Insecta, Diptera, Culicidae. The transcript is spliced from 3 exons. The record is from RefSeq and is a predicted model, not a curated record.